UAUCAUACCUAUUCGAAGGGAUAGGGUCGGUUCGGCCGGGUUUCACACAGGUGUUGCAUGGCUGUCGUCAGCUCGUGUCGUGAGAUGUUGGGUUAAGUCCCGCAACGAGCGCAACCCUCAUCCUUAGUUACCAUCAGGUAAUGCUGGGGACUUUAAGGAGACUGCCAGUGAUAAACUGGAGGAAGGUGGGGAUGAUGUCAAGUCAUCAUGGCCCUUAUGGAGUGGGCUACACACGUGCUACAAUGGUGGCUACAAUGGGCUGCAAAGUCGCGAGGCUAAGCCAAUCCCUUAAAAGCCAUCUCAGUUCGGAUUGUACUCUGCAACUCGAGUGCAUGAAGUUGGAAUCGCUAGUAAUCGUGGAUCAGCACGNCCACGGUGAAUACGUUCUCGGGUCUUGUACACACUGCCCGUCACGCCAUGGGAAUUGGUUUCACUCGAA
This 439-nucleotide ribosomal RNA is filed under the name Wolbachia sp. Its description in RNAcentral is "bacterial SSU rRNA". It matches the Rfam family "Bacterial small subunit ribosomal RNA", at positions 990 to 1425 of the family's 1533-position model. Lineage: Bacteria; Pseudomonadati; Pseudomonadota; Alphaproteobacteria; Rickettsiales; Anaplasmataceae. The record is from RNAcentral.